AGCAGCCGCGGUAAUUCCAGCUCCAAUAGCGUAUAUUAAAGUUGUUGCAGUUAAAAAGCUCGUAGUUGAAUUUCGGAAUCUGCCCAUCGGUCGUGCUUCACUGUUCGUACUGGUGUGGUGGGUUCUUACCUUCUGAAUAACCAGCAUGCCAUUCACUUGGUGUGCUGGGGAAGCAGGACUAUUACCUUGAAAAAAUUAGAGUGCUCAAAGCAGGCUAGUGCCUGAAUACAUUAGCAUGGAAUAAUAAAAUAGGACGGCAUGGUUCUAUUUUGUUGGUUUGCACACCAGGGUA
This 292-nucleotide ribosomal RNA is filed under the name uncultured Acaulosporaceae. RNAcentral's name for it is "partial small subunit ribosomal RNA". It matches the Rfam family "Eukaryotic small subunit ribosomal RNA", at positions 569 to 864 of the family's 1831-position model. Lineage: Eukaryota; Fungi; Glomeromycota; Glomeromycetes; Diversisporales; Acaulosporaceae. The record is from RNAcentral.